Molecule: long non-coding RNA, 218 nt
Filed under: Lathyrus oleraceus (garden pea)
Lineage: Eukaryota; Viridiplantae; Streptophyta; Magnoliopsida; Fabales; Fabaceae
Description: Pisum sativum (pea) long non-coding RNA (PSAT_LNC007268)
Source: RNAcentral
AAUUAUUUUCUUUGCACUCAUUUUUUCUUUCAUUCAUUCCUCCCUCAACCUCCAUCUAUUUAUAAUCUCAGUUUCGUUAAGAUUCUUCAUUUCAUUUGUUUUUUACCUUCAUAAAUAUUAAGCGUGUGAAUUUUUGCCAACUAUUCAAACACAAGCUUUUCUAUAUAUGUUUAUCACAAUUACUAUCCACAUUGCCAUUUAUCAAUAUCAAACAAAAU